UCAUUCUUUUUUUCAGUAUUAACUCUCUUUCUAUAUGUUUAGUAUCAGAAAACAACAAAAGUAGUAAUUUUAUAGUGUUUUUUUGAUAAUCAUUUGUGUACAAAUGAUAACAUGUUUCAAACUUUAUAAUCCUGCUUUUGUGUUUAUAUGUAUAUAUAUAUUUAUAUAUUGUAUGUGUGAUCAGAACUGCAGCAUUUCCAAUUUAGUGUUCACAGCCUUUCAUUCACCGAACUUUUCUUUUUUGCCAUAAAUCAGAAAGCUUUCAAGUCUCAACAAACAAAGUUCUGUUCUUUAGUAUUGAGUAGUUGUACUAGACACAACCCAUUAGAGAUCUCUCACAGUAUCUCAAAAUUCAGACCCCUUUUCAUUCUCUUGAUCAGUAAAUAAUGAUGAUCACAAUAUAUAUAUAUAUAUUUUCAUCCCAACUUUGAAUCUGGAUCGUUUGAUGAUGAUGAGAGAAGCCACAUUGAUGAUGAUCUCUCAUCUUGGUUUAAGAGCUACCCAACUUUCUAUUCAGUACCUCUUUUCUUUAAUGUCUUUCUUUCUUUCUUUGCCUGAAAAAUACGUUGCUCUUUCUCUGGUGACCGAACUCUUUUUCUCAGACUAUUCUGUCUCUUGCUGUUCUCUCUACUACUACCAUGAUAGUCUCGAAACUGGAUUUUGAGAGCUUCAAAUUGCCUACACCUUUGGUGACUUUGCCUAAAUAUGCAUCCCACUUCCAUCACCGUACACGUGUCCCAUCGAUGUAAGAUAACCUCACACUUGGAAGUAUUUGUCUUUUGACAUUUAUACCCCUCCAUUGAAAGACCUUAUGGUUGAAAUUUUCGACAUCAAAGAGACCCCAUCAAGGGAAAAUUCACACCCAAUUUAGCUCAAGAAACUUUCUGCUAUCAUGAUACGUUAAACCCGGGGAACUUUUACCCUUCUAUGAUUUAAUGACCAAAAUGCCCUUGUGUGUCUAAAGUGUAGUGGACCCCCGCAAGGUGUGGUGUGGAGACUUCCUUUUAGCUCAGCAGUGGAAUUUUAUGGCCAAAGGGCAAAAUGGGUCAAACCCAAAAAUUUUUUUUCCUUGAACCAAGAGGCUAUUUUGGAUUAAUUUAGCUUUUGGGUUAAUAGCUCUUCAAACCAGGAGAAACACCACCCUAGAAUCCAUAAACGAAUGUUUAGGCCAUGAACCACUGUUGUGUAUAGGGUUUUGGUGGCCGUCUCGAUAACAAAGUUUUUGGCCUCGGCUUUGGUGCUUGUUUGGUCAGACAGGGUCAGACUCGAACAAAAAAAAUUGAAGACAAUAUCUAACUCUAAAAUAAUGAAGAAAUAAUGAUAAAGUGUAUUAGACCGAAAAGGGUAUGUCAUUCUUUGGUUUUAACAAACUUUUAAGAGAGAGUGUAAUUGGUAUUUUGGAGUUGAAUAAAGGGUAUGCAUGGAAAAGAAGAUGUAAAGAAAAGAAAAGAAAAGACAGAGAUUGCUUGCGCAAAUCUAGCUAAUCUGAGCUUCUGGGGUAAGCAUGUAAAAAGUGAGUUAAGAAGGGCAAUUCAAGAAAAAAGUGUGUUAAUAAGGGGCCUAAAACACCAAAACAAAAUUAAAAAAUAAAAUAAAAUGAUUUAAGUUUCAAGUUUGUACGAACACAAAUAAAUUCCAUUUCUCUCUUUCUUUCUCACAUUUAUUUGGCCUCAUUAUGCUGAGAUUGACAGGCCAAGCAGUACUAAGAGAGAGAGAUAUAGAUAUAUAGAUAGAUAGAGAUAAACAGUCUCACACACUAUACGGCAAAGGUAACUCAAACCACUUUUAAUUUAAGCCUCUUAUGCAUAGUUUCUUCUUUUUCUACCAUAUACGAACGACAAGGAAAAUCAUGUUAAAGAGGGCUUCUCGAAUAAAAGAAGGAAGAAAGUGAGAGCAAGAAACGUGGAUGGUGGUGGUGGUGGUGGGAAACAUGGCUGGGGCUUUGGCUGCAUUCCCUAUUUGGAUUAUCAUUGAAGAAAGCUCUCUAUCUUCCAUGACAAUGUCCUACAAGAAAAAACUUCUUAUGGGGUCUACUUCUCUAAAUGAGGAAUAUUGGUCUAAAUGUAGAAGCAAGUCCUCCAUUUUCAAGCUCCAAUUCUUCAAUCAAGUUCUCUUACCCUGUCUCUUCUUCUCUGGCCAUUGAUGAUGGUGAUUCUAGGGGUGAUAUUGGCGGGAAGGCUCAAUCUUCUUCUUUCUCUUUUUUCUUUUCUUUUGGUAUUUUUAUGAUAAUGUUUAUCUUCUUUUUGUUAUAUUUAUUCAAAGAAAUUAACUGAUGAUGAUGAUCAUCAUCAUCUCUUACCAUUUUUUUUUUUUAUUUUCUUUUAUGGGUUCUGUUAUUUUUUUGUUUUGUUAUAGAAUGGCUAUGAAGAAUUCUCUUUAACCUAAAAGGACUGGCCAUUCUUAAUUUCUAUCUAAUGAUACAUUAUUAUCAUUC
Molecule: long non-coding RNA, 2434 nt
Organism: Humulus lupulus (European hop)
Lineage: Eukaryota; Viridiplantae; Streptophyta; Magnoliopsida; Rosales; Cannabaceae
Exons: 2
Source: RefSeq, a predicted model, not a curated record